This 521-nucleotide ribosomal RNA is filed under the name uncultured bacterium. Its description in RNAcentral is "bacterial SSU rRNA". It matches the Rfam family "Bacterial small subunit ribosomal RNA", at positions 777 to 1297 of the family's 1533-position model. The record is from RNAcentral.
AAUAGAUACCCAGGUAGUCCACGCCGUAAACGAUGAGUGCUAAGUGUUAGAGGGUUUCCGCCCUUUAGUGCUGAAGUUAACGCAUUAAGCACUCCGCCUGGGGAGUACGGCCGCAAGGCUGAAACUCAAAGGGAAUUGACGGGGGCCCGCACAAGCGGUGGAGCAUGUGGUUUAAUUCGAAGCAACGCGAAGAACCUUACCAGGUCUUGACAUCCUCUGACAACCCUAGAGAUAGGGCUUCUCCUUCGGGAGCAGAGUGACAGGUGGUGCAUGGUUGUCGUCAGCUCGUGUCGUGAGAUGUUGGGUUAAGUCCCGCAACGAGCGCAACCCUUGAUCUUAGUUGCCAUCAUUAAGUUGGGCACUCUAAGGUGACUGCCGGUGACAAACCGGAGGAAGGUGGGGAUGACGUCAAAUCAUCAUGCCCCUUAUGACCUGGGCUACACACGUGCUACAAUGGACGGUACAAAGAGCUGCAAGACCGCGAGGUGGAGCUAAUCUCAUAAAACCGUUCUCAGUUCGGA